Molecule: ribosomal RNA, 439 nt
Filed under: uncultured bacterium
Lineage: Bacteria
Description: partial 16S ribosomal RNA
Rfam family: Bacterial small subunit ribosomal RNA
Source: RNAcentral
CCUACGGGUGGCAGCAGUGGGGGAUAUUGCACAAUGGGGGGAACCCUGAUGCAGCGACGCCGCGUGGGUGAAGAAGCGCCUCGGCGCGUAAAGCCCUGUCAGCAGGGAAGAAAAUGACGGUACCUGAAGAAGAAGCCCCGGCUACUACGUGCCCGCCGCCGCGGUAAUACGUAGGGGGCAAGCGUUAUCCGGGUUUACUGGGUGUAAAGGGGGCGCAGACGGCGAUGCAAGCCAGGAGUGAAAGCCCGGGGGCCAACCCCGGGACUGCUCUUGGAACUGCGUGGCUGGAGUGCAGGAGGGGCAGGCGGAAUUCCUGGUGUAGCGGGGAAAUGCGUAGAUAUCAGGAGGAACACCGGUGGCGAAGGCGGCCUGCUGGACUGCAACUGACGUUGAGGCCCGAAAGCGUGGGGAGCAAACAGGAUUAGAUACCCCAGUAGUC